GUCUACGUCCACGCUACCCUGAACAAGCCUGAUCCCACCUGAUCUCGGAAGCUAAGCAGGGUCGGGCCCAGUUAAUACUUGGAUGGAAGACCAUCUAGGAAGACCAGGUACUACAGGCA
RNAcentral lists this ribosomal RNA (119 nucleotides) under Pteropus alecto (black flying fox). The record is from RNAcentral. Lineage: Eukaryota; Metazoa; Chordata; Mammalia; Chiroptera; Pteropodidae.